GGACUACCGGGGUAUCUAAUCCCGUUUGCUCCCCUGGCUUUCGUGUCUCAGUGUCAGCACACCCCCAGCUACCUGUUUUCACCAUUGGCGUUCCAAAUGAUAUCUACGCAUUUCACCGCUCCACCAUUUGUUCCGGUAGCCCCUGAGUGGCUCAAGACACCCAGUAUGUCAAGCAAUUCCACGGUUAAGCCGUGGGAUUUCACAAAACACUUAGGCAUCCACCUACACACGCUUUAAGCCCAGUGAUUCCGCCUAACGCUCGAGGCCUCUGUAUUACCGCGGCGGCUGGCAC
This 292-nucleotide ribosomal RNA is filed under the name uncultured bacterium. RNAcentral's name for it is "partial 16S ribosomal RNA". The record is from RNAcentral.